RNAcentral lists this ribosomal RNA (234 nucleotides) under uncultured Pseudomonas sp. RNAcentral describes it as "partial 16S ribosomal RNA". It matches the Rfam family "Bacterial small subunit ribosomal RNA", at positions 1151 to 1382 of the family's 1533-position model. The record is from RNAcentral. Lineage: Bacteria; Pseudomonadati; Pseudomonadota; Gammaproteobacteria; Pseudomonadales; Pseudomonadaceae.
GCCGGUGACGAAACCGGAGGAAGGUGGGGAUGACGUCAAGUCAUCAUGGCCCUUACGGCCUGGGCUACACACGUGCUACAAUGGUCGGUACAAAGGGUUGCCAAGCCGCGAGGUGGAGCUAAUCCCAUAAAAACCGAUCGUAGUCCGGAUCGCAGUCUGCAACUCGACUCCGUGAAGUCGGAAUCGCUAGUAAUCGUGAAUCAGAAUGUCACGGUGAAUACGUUCCCGGGCCUU